AAAGGGAUGGAGCAGCCCAAAGAGCUGGCGCCACGAACUGACGAGCAGAGCGCAAGUGAUAAAGAUUUACUGCGAGAGAGGAGGAAACAGUCCGCUGGCCCGAUUAGAGCUGUGAAUACCGAGUUGUUCAGGGAGGAUUUUGCAGCUGACUGAUCACAGGCUGUCGGAGCAGGCCUCGGACAACAGCUGCAAGGCUUGCUGGGCUGCAGAAACAAAGGGCGCCUAGCACGGUGCAAAGAAAGAGUUGACAGGUUGUUGUUAGCAGUGGCAAAUGUGUGAGAGCGGCUGCUUGUGAGGCUGGGGGAACGCUUCUGAAAGCAAUCACGUCGCUUCCUACGCUCGCUCUCCUAAACACCUACGUCUGGUCACCUUUAUUCUUCCUGUGCAGGCCCUCGGCUGCGAGCUUCAGACUGCGUGAACGCAAAGGAACUACGAGGACAGCUUCAGGUUCCACUCUCCCCAGUAUGUUACAAUGACGACCCCACGCUGGGAACAGCCACACGGCCCAGAGGUGCCAAGCUGGCACGGAUAUCUCACUCAGCAUUCAGCAUCUAAGCCCUUGGCAAGCCCCAUGGCAGUUGUGCUUGGCUGCUCUUGGAUCUGUCAUGUGGUCAGGCUGCUGAUAGCAGUAGGGUGCUGCGUCCUCUGGGCACCAUUUCACUUUAACACCUGUCUGAUUCAGAGGAAUGCGCGCACAUGGAGAGCAAGAUCCCCACACAAAUCCUCCCAGAGACCCAG
Molecule: long non-coding RNA, 738 nt
Organism: Gallus gallus (chicken)
Lineage: Eukaryota; Metazoa; Chordata; Aves; Galliformes; Phasianidae
Source: Ensembl